This 460-nucleotide ribosomal RNA is filed under the name uncultured bacterium. RNAcentral describes it as "partial 16S ribosomal RNA". It matches the Rfam family "Bacterial small subunit ribosomal RNA", at positions 338 to 795 of the family's 1533-position model. The record is from RNAcentral.
CCUACGGGGGGCAGCAGUGAGGAAUAUUGGUCAAUGGGCGUAAGUCUGAACCAGCCAAGUCGCGUGAAGGAUGACGGUCCUAUGGAUCGUAAACUUCUUUUAUAAGGGAAUAAAGCGCGGCACGUGUGCCGUUUUGCAUGUACUUUAUGAAUAAGGAUCGGCUAACUCCGUGCCAGCAGCCGCGGUAAUACGGAGGAUCCGAGCGUUAUCCGGAUUUAUUGGGUUUAAAGGGAGCGUAGGUGGCCUUUUAAGUCAGCGGUGAAAGUUUGUGGCUCAACCAUAGAAUUGCCAUUGAUACUGGCAGUCUUGAGUACAGUUGAGGCAGGCGGAAUUCGUGGUGUAGCGGUGAAAUGCUUAGAUAUCACGAAGAACCCCGAUUGCGAAGGCAGCUUACUAAGCUGUGACUGACACUGAUGCACGAAAGCGUGGGGAUCAAACAGGAUUAGAUACCCGAGUAGUC